GACGAACGCUGGCGGCGUGCUUAACACAUGCAAGUCGAACGGAAAGGCCCUGCUUUUGCGGGGUGCUCGAGUGGCGAACGGGUGAGUAACACGUGAGUAACCUGCCCUUGACUUUGGGAUAACUUCAGGAAACUGGGGCUAAUACCGGAUAGGAGCUCCUGCUGCAUGGUGGGGGUUGGAAAGUUCCGGCGGUUGGGGAUGGACUCGCAGCUUAUCCGCUUGUUAGUGAGGUAGUGGUGUACCAAGGCUUUGACGGGUAGCCCGCCUGAGAGCGUGACCGGCCACCAUGCGACUGCGGGACGGACCAGAAGGGUACGGGAGGCAACAGGGGGGAGUAUUGCGGAGUGGGGGGAAGCCUGAUGCGGCAACGCCGGGAGCGUGAUAACGUCUUACGAGUUAUAAACCGCUUUCGAAGGAGACGUAGACGUAGUGACGGUAACGGGUCAGGAAGCACCGGCUAACUACGUG
This 468-nucleotide ribosomal RNA is filed under the name uncultured bacterium. RNAcentral's name for it is "partial 16S ribosomal RNA". It matches the Rfam family "Bacterial small subunit ribosomal RNA", at positions 28 to 507 of the family's 1533-position model. The record is from RNAcentral.